Molecule: transfer RNA, 73 nt
Filed under: Mesocricetus auratus (golden hamster)
Lineage: Eukaryota; Metazoa; Chordata; Mammalia; Rodentia; Cricetidae
Rfam family: tRNA
About the family: Transfer RNA (tRNA) molecules are approximately 80 nucleotides in length. Their secondary structure includes four short double-helical elements and three loops (D, anti-codon, and T loops). Further hydrogen bonds mediate the characteristic L-shaped molecular structure. tRNAs have two regions of fundamental functional importance: the anti-codon, which is responsible for specific mRNA codon recognition, and the 3' end, to which the tRNAs corresponding amino acid is attached (by aminoacyl-tRNA synthetases). tRNAs cope with the degeneracy of the genetic code in two manners: having more than one tRNA (with a specific anti-codon) for a particular amino acid; and 'wobble' base-pairing, i.e. permitting non-standard base-pairing at the 3rd anti-codon position.
Source: Rfam by way of RNAcentral
GCCCAGUUAGCUCGGUUGGUACAGCACGAGACUCUUAAUCCCAGGGUCUUGGGUUCUAGCCUCACAUUGGGCA